UUCAAAUAAAAUCCCAAGUCUUUACAACCUUAAAUAAACUGAAACUUAAACUUAGCGUUUAUGACUACAUUACAUCAUAUGCAGAAAUAUAACUUGUUACAUAAAUAACUCUCAUCAUUUCAUCUUAGACUUCCCCUUGUCCUUGCCCGAGCCCUCAGUGUUCUCAGCCUUAAUUGAAAGGUUUAAGCAAGAAAGAGUACAAAUUGCCCAGCAAGUAUAUAAAGUAGUUUGGAAACAUGCAUCAGGAGUAAAAGCAUUUGUAUGAAUAUUUCUCAAUAGUUGAAAUAAUUAUCAGGAGAUAAACAGGAACAUCAAGAUAAGAGUUUUAGAAUUCUCAAUAGCAUACUAAGGGGUGUUAGAUACCCUGAACAUUACUUUGUUUCAUUAAAAAAAACAUCAGACGAUUUAACAAUCAAAUAGAUUGUAAACAGUCUCUGCAAG
This 441-nucleotide long non-coding RNA is filed under the name Panax ginseng (ginseng). RNAcentral describes it as "long non-coding RNA (PGIN_LNC018970)". The record is from RNAcentral. Lineage: Eukaryota; Viridiplantae; Streptophyta; Magnoliopsida; Apiales; Araliaceae.